UCCAGCAGGGGGACACAGCACAGGCAAUAGACAAAUAUCCAGACCACGAGGCACGAUCUCAUUCAUCAUUUUAUUUUGAGCAUUUUAUACCACACUGCACCGUAUUUUACAAUGCUGUGUCAUAUAAAUCAAUGCUCUUUUGGACAAUUGUACUAGAUGUUUAAUGGCAGAGGCAAACUGUACAAUAGGAUGACAUGUUCCUUUAGGUGUGCGUGUGUUUGUGUAAAUUAACCAGCAGCUGUUAAGGUAUCCAUACGUGGGCCCUGUGAGCAGAACGGCCCCCUGAAUCCUGAGAGAGCGGAGCACAUAAUCUCUCCGGAUGGUGCUGCAGUUUCAGUAACUGUAACAGUUUCAUGUGACGAAAAUCUAAAUUGUAAUUCUCACCUCAGCGGCACUUUAUUCACCCCUUUCUUUUGUAGGGAUCGUGCAAAUUGUUAGAAUUCUUCCCACAAAGCACAAGGCGUCAGGCACUCAAGUCCCCCCCAUAUUUACAGAAAAGCCAGCAUGCAAAUCCCAAAACCACAAUGCAACACAGACUGCAGGUUCACACGCUUAUUUAGCAGCUUUAGUUAUUUCUCCCAACAACAGAGGGCAUAAGUUGCUGUUAACCAACCGUUUUAGUUGCAAGAAAAAUGGCUCACUCAAUAAAACAAAAAUGCAAUUGUAAACCUUCAUCGCCCGCAAAUGAAAAAUAUUAAUUACGCUGACAUUCAGCUACUGGCAGAGAGCAGCGUCCAUAAAAACAUUCUUAAAAUUAACAAAAGGUGUAUGCACUCCAGGCUUUGGGAAAGUAAUACUGCAAAAUGAUUCAUUUAAGCAACUAAGGGAAUCAUUAGAAACAUAAUGUCCAAUGAGUUCACCUCAGCGUGACAGCUCUUAUACAACUUUCCAUGACCUGUGAAGGAGACAAUGAGGUAGGUGUGAACCAGAUUCCAUCAUGUAGUUCUCUCUUGAGUCACGCCCUGUUGGUGCGAGCGUGGAUCACGGCUUUAAUGUGACCAUAUGUGGCAACACGUGUGUGACAAUCACUGAUUGUAUUAGACAUCAGAUGUGAUGUCCACUAUACAUAGUGGCAAUAGAAAUAGAUGGAAGCAACACAUAGUGAACACACAAAUUCCACAGAGCGAUUGAACAGUGUUGAUUACAUUUUAAAAAUGACUUUAACCAAGUUAAAUUAUCCACAAGGCUGAAUGUCUGAUUUGUUGCUCCAGUUGGUACUGCAGCUGCUUAUCUGAAUGACCGCAUUCCCUUUGGAUGAGCUUUUACAAAUGUUACCACAUACAAGCAGACAGGGCAACAAAGCAACAUUUAAAUGUUGGAUUAGCAGUGAGAACAUGGUGCGAUCAGAAAUUGAGGUUAUGCAAACAAACUGCAAUACCCUGCCAAUUGCAGUGCACGUUGCUCACUGAGAGGUUGCAAAGCCGAAGGUCUCGCUUUAGUAACCAAAAGUUCCAUAUGUUUAAGAAAUCACCUGCCAAAACAGGCCGACUGAAAAUCCCAUGGUAUUUUAUAGAGAAUAUGCAAUCCCCUGUAUCACAGAAUGGUAGGAGUCUCAAACUCUUCACUUUUCUUUCUUUUUUUCUUCUCUGAUAUCUGGCCAACUAGUCAUUCUGCUAUUCGCAGAAGAAACAAAGAUAACUGAGUCAAAUUUCGAGAUCAGACAGCAUGCAAGGACACAUACAUAAUUAUAAGCAUUUUAUCCUGCGACUUCCAGAGAAACAACUGUUGAAACACGCCAUCAGGACUAGGCAAGGUCACACUCACAUGUUUACGUAACUCUAAAAGCACAUCAGACAUAUUGUAGGAAAAAAGAAAUCAAUGAUUUGAACUUUGAGGGUGGACAAACUCCAUCAACCGAUUAGCUGAAAAAAACAUGGCCUGGUCAAUAGACUGUUGGAUGACCAGGGAGAUAUUUUUGAAUAAUUGAGGAUUUGGGGUUUAAAGUUAUGUAGGAGGCUAUUAGGAUUUUUUUAAAUACUGUGAAUCUCUGAAAAAACUAUGUUGUUUUAGGAGAAAAAAAAGAUUAAAAUUUAAUUUAAAUUCAACGAGUUUGAUAGAUCAAAUAUGCUGAUACAAUGAACCCAUUACCCUGGAGAACUCAGCAACACUCUGGUCAAAGUACAGACAUAACAAUCU
Long non-coding RNA from Gasterosteus aculeatus aculeatus (three-spined stickleback), 2136 nucleotides. The record is from Ensembl. NCBI's taxonomy places the organism in Eukaryota, Metazoa, Chordata, Actinopteri, Perciformes, Gasterosteidae.